GUGCCAGCAGCCGCGGUAAUACGGAGGAUCCAAGCGUUAUCCGGAAUCAUUGGGUUUAAAGGGUCCGUAGGCGGGACAAUAAGUCAGUGGUGAAAGUCUGCAGCUCAACUGUAGAACUGCCAUUGAUACUGUUGUCCUUGAGUAAUUAUGAAGUGGUUAGAAUAUGUAGUGUAGCGGUGAAAUGCAUAGAUAUUACAUAGAAUACCGAUUGCGAAGGCAGAUCACUAAUAAUUUACUGACGCUGAUGGACGAAAGCGUAGGUAGCGAACAGGAUUAGAUACCCUGGUAGUCUACGCCGUAAACGAUGGUUACUAGCUGUUUGGACCGAUUGAGGUCUGAGUGGCUAAGCGAAAGUGAUAAGUAACCCACCUGGGGAGUACGUUCGCAAGAAUGAAACUCAAAGGAAUUGACGG
This 413-nucleotide ribosomal RNA is filed under the name Salinimicrobium sp. RNAcentral describes it as "bacterial SSU rRNA". It matches the Rfam family "Bacterial small subunit ribosomal RNA", at positions 505 to 916 of the family's 1533-position model. Lineage: Bacteria; Pseudomonadati; Bacteroidota; Flavobacteriia; Flavobacteriales; Flavobacteriaceae. The record is from RNAcentral.